Molecule: long non-coding RNA, 439 nt
Organism: Malurus melanocephalus (red-backed fairy wren)
Lineage: Eukaryota; Metazoa; Chordata; Aves; Passeriformes; Maluridae
Exons: 3
Source: RefSeq, a predicted model, not a curated record
CUGUGGAGCCCUGAGCUGUCCCUGUGCUGGAGCAGCUCCUGGAGCGUGUCCCGGUGUCCCCAGGGCUGUGCUGACGGUGCUUUGUGUGUGGCUGUUGUUGUUCCCAUGCAGUGCUGAAGACGGUGCCCUUCACCGCCCGGAGCGCCAAGCGCGGCUCUCGGUUCUUCUGCGACCCCGUUGUCCCCGAGGAAUUCCAUUACUAAACUCUCCCUCUUUCCCACCUGCCGCUCUUAGAAGCCAGGAAGCCCUAAAGAAGAAUAAUAUCACUAAAUUUCCCAAUGUUCACUCGAGGAUCUGCGGAACCAGCCGUACCGCCGGGCCGACGCGCUGAGGAGGAGCGUUCGCCGCCGCUUCGACGAGCACGGGCUGCGCUCCAACGGCGCCGAGCUGGCCCUGUGAGCCCGCGGGAGCGGGACGGGCUCGGCAUCCCGGCUGCCUU